CCCUUAGAUGUUCUGGGCCGCACGCGCGCUACACUGAUGAACGCAACGAGACGACCUGUACCGAAAGGCAUGGGUAAACUUGUGAAAGUUCAUCGUGAUGGGGAUAGAUUAUUGCAAUUAUUAAUCUUCAACGAGGAAUUCCUAGUAAGCGCGAGCCAUCAGCUCGCGUUGAUUACGUCCCUGCCCUUUGUACACACCGCCCGUCGCUCCUACCGAUUGAAUGGUCCGGUGAAAUCUUCGGAUUGCUGGAUAGGAGGGCAACCACCUAUCUGCGAGAAGUUGCUUGAACCUUAUCAUUUAGAGGAAGGAGAAGUCGUAACA
RNAcentral lists this ribosomal RNA (321 nucleotides) under uncultured eukaryote. RNAcentral's name for it is "partial 18S ribosomal RNA". It matches the Rfam family "Eukaryotic small subunit ribosomal RNA", at positions 1470 to 1796 of the family's 1831-position model. The record is from RNAcentral.